This 413-nucleotide ribosomal RNA is filed under the name uncultured bacterium. RNAcentral's name for it is "bacterial SSU rRNA". It matches the Rfam family "Bacterial small subunit ribosomal RNA", at positions 355 to 767 of the family's 1533-position model. The record is from RNAcentral.
UAAGGAAUAUUGCUCAAUGGGAGAAAUCCUGAAGCAGCAACGCCGCGUGGAGGAUGAAGGGUCUAUGACUUGUAAACUCCUGUAAAGAAGGAAAAAAUUCCCAUUUGAUGGGAGAUGAUGGUACUUCUGGAGUAAGCCCCGGCUAACUACGUGCCAGCAGCCGCGGUAAUACGUAGGGGGCAAGCGUUGUCCGGAUUUACUGGGUGUAAAGGGUGCUCAGGCGGAUUUGUAAGUCAGAGGUGAAAUCUUACAGCUUAACUGUGAAACUGCCUUUGAUACUGCAAGCCUAGAGUAUGGAAGAGAGUGAUGGAAUAUCUGGUGUAGCAGUGAAAUGCGUAGAUAUCAGAUAGAACACCCAUGGCGAAGGCAGUCACUUGGUCCAUUACUGACGCUAAAGCACGAAAGCGUGGGUA